RNAcentral lists this ribosomal RNA (301 nucleotides) under uncultured bacterium. RNAcentral describes it as "partial 16S ribosomal RNA". It matches the Rfam family "Bacterial small subunit ribosomal RNA", at positions 509 to 807 of the family's 1533-position model. The record is from RNAcentral.
CAGUCGCCGCGGUAAUACAGAGGGUGCAAGCGUUAAUCGGAAUUACUGGGCGUAAAGCGCGCGUAGGUGGUUUGUUAAGUUGGAUGUGAAAGCCCCGGGCUCAACCUGGGAACUGCAUCCAAAACUGGCAAGCUAGAGUACGGUAGAGGGUGGUGGAAUUUCCUGUGUAGCGGUGAAAUGCGUAGAUAUAGGAAGGAACACCAGUGGCGAAGGCGACCACCUGGACUGAUACUGACACUGAGGUGCGAAAGCGUGGGGAGCAAACAGGAUUAGAGACCCGAGUAGUCCCUGUCUCUUAUAC